RNAcentral lists this ribosomal RNA (588 nucleotides) under Rhodotorula mucilaginosa. Its description in RNAcentral is "eukaryotic LSU rRNA". It matches the Rfam family "Eukaryotic large subunit ribosomal RNA", at positions 51 to 655 of the family's 3401-position model. The record is from RNAcentral. Lineage: Eukaryota; Fungi; Basidiomycota; Microbotryomycetes; Sporidiobolales; Sporidiobolaceae.
CGGAGGAAAAGAAACUAACAAGGAUUCCCCUAGUAGCGGCGAGCGAAGCGGGAAGAGCUCAAAUUUAUAAUCUGGCACCUUCGGUGUCCGAGUUGUAAUCUCUAGAAAUGUUUUCCGCGUUGGACCGCACACAAGUCUGUUGGAAUACAGCGGCAUAGUGGUGAGACCCCCGUAUAUGGUGCGGACGCCCAGCGCUUUGUGAUACAUUUUCGAAGAGUCGAGUUGUUUGGGAAUGCAGCUCAAAUUGGGUGGUAAAUUCCAUCUAAAGCUAAAUAUUGGCGAGAGACCGAUAGCGAACAAGUACCGUGAGGGAAAGAUGAAAAGCACUUUGGAAAGAGAGUUAACAGUACGUGAAAUUGUUGGAAGGGAAACGCUUGAAGUCAGACUUGCUUGCUGAGCAAUCGGUUUGCAGGCCAGCAUCAGUUUUCCGGGAUGGAUAAUGGUAGAGAGAAGGUAGCAGUUUCGGCUGUGUUAUAGCUCUCUGCUGGAUACAUCUUGGGGGACUGAGGAACGCAGUGUGCCUUUGGCGGGGGUUUCGACCUCUUCACACUUAGGAUGCUGGUGGAAUGGCUUUAAACGACCCGUCUU